UAGGGAAUCUUCGGCAAUGGACGAAAGUCUGACCGAGCAACGCCGCGUGAGUGAAGAAGGUUUUCGGAUCGUAAAACUCUGUUGUUAGAGAAGAACAAGGACGUUAGUAACUGAACGUCCCCUGACGGUAUCUAACCAGAAAGCCACGGCUAACUACGUGCCAGCAGCCGCGGUAAUACGUAGGUGACAAGCGUUGUCCGGAUUUAUUGGGCGUAAAGCGAGCGCAGGCGGUUUCUUAAGUCUGAUGUGAAAGCCCCCGGCUCAACCGGGGAGGGUCAUUGGAAACUGGGAGACUUGAGUGCAGAAGAGGAGAGUGGAAUUCCAUGUGUAGCGGUGAAAUGCGUAGAUAUAUGGAGGAACACCAGUGGCGAAGGCGGCUCUCUGGUCUGUAACUGACGCUGAGGCUCGAAAGCGUGGGGAGCAAACAGA
This 429-nucleotide ribosomal RNA is filed under the name Gemmatimonadota bacterium. RNAcentral describes it as "Gemmatimonadetes bacterium partial 16S ribosomal RNA". It matches the Rfam family "Bacterial small subunit ribosomal RNA", at positions 355 to 776 of the family's 1533-position model. Lineage: Bacteria; Pseudomonadati; Gemmatimonadota. The record is from RNAcentral.